Molecule: transfer RNA, 75 nt
Filed under: Virgisporangium aliadipatigenens
Lineage: Bacteria; Bacillati; Actinomycetota; Actinomycetes; Micromonosporales; Micromonosporaceae
Description: tRNA-Glu
Rfam family: tRNA
About the family: Transfer RNA (tRNA) molecules are approximately 80 nucleotides in length. Their secondary structure includes four short double-helical elements and three loops (D, anti-codon, and T loops). Further hydrogen bonds mediate the characteristic L-shaped molecular structure. tRNAs have two regions of fundamental functional importance: the anti-codon, which is responsible for specific mRNA codon recognition, and the 3' end, to which the tRNAs corresponding amino acid is attached (by aminoacyl-tRNA synthetases). tRNAs cope with the degeneracy of the genetic code in two manners: having more than one tRNA (with a specific anti-codon) for a particular amino acid; and 'wobble' base-pairing, i.e. permitting non-standard base-pairing at the 3rd anti-codon position.
Source: RNAcentral
GGCGCGGUGGACGAAUGGAAGAGUCGCCUGGCUUUCACCCAGGAGCGUUGCGGGUUCGAGCCCCGUCCGCGCUAC